RNAcentral lists this ribosomal RNA (504 nucleotides) under uncultured bacterium. Its description in RNAcentral is "partial 16S ribosomal RNA". It matches the Rfam family "Bacterial small subunit ribosomal RNA", at positions 29 to 523 of the family's 1533-position model. The record is from RNAcentral.
AUUGAACGCUGGCGGCGGGCCUAACACAUGCAAGUCGGACGGUAGCACAGAGAGCUUGCUCUUGGGUGACGAGUGGCGGACGGGUGAGUAAUGUCUGGGGAUCUGCCCGAUAGAGGGGGAUAACCACUGGAAACGGUGGCUAAUACCGCAUAACGUCGCUAGACCAAAGAGGGGGACCUUCGGGCCUCUCACUAUCGGAUGAACCCAGAUGGGAUUAGCUAGUAGGCGGGGUAAUGGCCCACCUAGGCGACGAUCCCUAGCUGGUCUGAGAGGAGGACCGGCCACACUGGAACUGAGACACGGUCCAGACUCCUACGGGAGGCAGCAGUGGGGAAUAUUGCACAAUGGGCGCAAGCCUGAUGCAGCCAUGCCGCGUGUAUGAAGAAGGCCUUCGGGUUGUAAAGUACUUUCAGCGGGGAGGAAGGCGGUGAGGUUAAUAACCUUGCCGAUUGACGUUACCCGCAGAAGAAGCACCGGCUAACUCCGUGCCAGCAGCCGCCGUAA